Long non-coding RNA from Cydia fagiglandana, 625 nucleotides. RefSeq lists it as uncharacterized. The transcript is spliced from 2 exons. NCBI's taxonomy places the organism in Eukaryota, Metazoa, Arthropoda, Insecta, Lepidoptera, Tortricidae. The record is from RefSeq and is a predicted model, not a curated record.
UAUUUUUAUGAACAUACCUCGACACCCAAAAAAUUAUGGCCUCUUCAUUUUUAAUUUGACGUACUAUCGGUGUUUUUUAGAAGAGCAGAGCUAACUAAGCUAGUUAGGAGCUGUUUAUAAUUAGAAUUAGUGAAUAACAUACUUAACCAACCACACGAUGGAACCAAUUUAUCAGUGAAGUGGUGAUUUAUCUUAAAAACCUUUUUUGUUCGCCUAGGGCGCAGAGUUAAAGAUAAGCGCUUAUAUAUGCAACUUGACAAUGACAAUGUUUGCAGUGAAACAUCUCAGCCAAUAGCCGCAUUAAAAGGCAAACUGCACAAUUCAUAAUGAGGCAGAAAUGUUCAUUAUUCACAGGAGUGUCGCUGUUGGUUGUGAGUAUUCCAUCAUCAGCUAUUUGUCCGGAGCUGGCUACACAAUCCGGAGGCCACACUCUUCUGGCAUCUAACCGGCCUGCACACCGCCAUCAAAUGAAGUUGGUUGUACUGAAAUAAAGAAAAAAUAUUAACUAGUUUAAUGAUUGUCAAAUGUAAUAAAAUUGUUUUAUUUAAGUGGGUUGUUUGAUUUCCCUAAAUUAACACAUGAAAUAUGUUGAUAUGUUAUAAUAAAAAUCUCAGUUAAAAACUCA